RNAcentral lists this ribosomal RNA (224 nucleotides) under uncultured bacterium. RNAcentral's name for it is "partial 16S ribosomal RNA". It matches the Rfam family "Bacterial small subunit ribosomal RNA", at positions 111 to 334 of the family's 1533-position model. The record is from RNAcentral.
UAACGCGUGGGUAACCGUGCCUCAUACAGGGGGAUAACAGUUAGAAAUGACUGCUAAUACCGCAUAAGCGCACAGUGCUGCAUGGCACAGUGUGAAAAACUCCGGUGGUAUGAGAUGGACUCGCGUCUGAUUAGCUAGUUGGUGGGGUAACGGCCUACCAAGGCGACGAUCAGUAGCCGACCUGAGAGGGUGACCGGCCACAUUGGGACUGAGACACGGCCCAA